Molecule: non-coding RNA, 46 nt
Organism: Operophtera brumata (winter moth)
Lineage: Eukaryota; Metazoa; Arthropoda; Insecta; Lepidoptera; Geometridae
Source: Rfam
AAAAAGGCUCUUUUCAGGGCCACCAUACAUCAACCAGAGUCAUUAA